UAAGGAAUUUUCCGCAAUGGACGAAAGUCUGACGGAGCAACGCCGCGUGAGUGACGACGUCCCUCGGGAUGUAAAACUCUUUUCCACGUGAAGAGCAAGGACGGUAGCGUGGGAAUAAGCAUCGGCUAACUACGUGCCAGCAGCCGCGGUAAUACGUAGGAUGCGAGCGUUGUCCGGAGUUAUUGGGCGUAAAGCGCACGUAGGCGGUUGUGUAAGUGUGGUGUGAAAUCUGCGGGCUUAACCCGCAGUGGUCGCUGCAGACUGCACGACUGGAGGGCUGGAGAGGAAGAUAGAAUUCCCGGUGUAGUGGUGAAAUGCGUAGAUAUCGGGAGGAAUACCAGUGGCGAAGGCGGUCUUCUGGCCAGUUUCUGACGCUGAGGUGCGAAAGCUAGGGGAGCGAACGG
This 404-nucleotide ribosomal RNA is filed under the name uncultured bacterium. Its description in RNAcentral is "bacterial SSU rRNA". It matches the Rfam family "Bacterial small subunit ribosomal RNA", at positions 355 to 775 of the family's 1533-position model. The record is from RNAcentral.